CUCGUAGGCGGCCAACUAAGUCAGACGUGAAAUCCCUCGGCUUAACCGGGGAACUGCGUCUGAUACUGGAUGGCUUGAAUCCGGGAGAGGGAUGUGGAAUUCCAGGUGUAGCGGUGAGAUGCGUAGAUAUCUGGAGGAACACCGGUGGCGAAGGCGGCAUCCUGGACCGGUAUUGACGCUGAGUGAGCGAAAGCCAGGGAGCAAACG
This 207-nucleotide ribosomal RNA is filed under the name uncultured bacterium. RNAcentral's name for it is "partial 16S ribosomal RNA". It matches the Rfam family "Bacterial small subunit ribosomal RNA", at positions 568 to 774 of the family's 1533-position model. The record is from RNAcentral.